CUUAUAAGAAACUGCUAAGUUACAAUUGUUUGCUAAUAUGCUAAUCCAGUAUAUCGAUUUUCUAUCUCAAUAAAAUAACUUAUACAGAUCCCUUUGCAUAGAAUUAAAAAAAAAAAAAAACCCACACAACUUCAUCUUAAAAUCAUAUAUGCAUGGCAGUAGUUAGUGACAUUAAAUAAAUCUCAUGUUUAAAGUUGUUCCGAAUGACUUGACAUGGCCGUAUAUGUAGUAAAUGAUAUUUAGAAAUUUCUUUUUUUAGUUGUUCCGUACGCCGUGGAAGGACGUACUUGUUAUUCCAGGUUUUGUAUACCGGGCUGUUAUUAUGCAAGGAGCAUGCACAGAAGAUUAUGUUGUCAUAAAAUUUCUUACUCGUGUUGGUGGUCAAGAAAAAAGAACAAUGGAUGACGAUGUUUGACUUGGUAUGUUAACUCCAAGGUUAAAAUAUAUUAUAUUGUUUUUUAGGCAUUGUGCUGAGUUGUUCCCUUAAAGUUUUUUGUAUACGUGCUAUUACGACUUUACUAGAACACACUUAUAAUGGUUGCUUUUAAAAAGGAUAAUCAGCAAUUUAAAACUUCUUAGUCGAAAAAAACCAAUUGUUUUGUUUUAAACAAGUCAAAUUUACUAGUUUAAUCAUAUAAUCUUCUUUAAUGUUGUACUGUUAUACCACUGUCCCAGGUUAGGAGAAGGGUUUGGAUCCCGUGAACAUGUUUAACCCCGCCACAUUCUGUAUGUAUGUGUCUGUCCAUAGUCAGGAGCCUGUAAUUCAGUGGUUGUCGUUUGUUUAUGUUUUACAUAUUUGUUUUUCGUUCUUUUUUUGUACAUUAAUAAGACCGUUAUUUUUCUCGUUUGAAUUGUUUAACAUUGUCAUUUAUAGCUGACUUUGCGGUAUGGGCUUUGCUCAUUGUUGAAGGCCGUACGGUGACAUAUAAAUGUUAAUUUUUGUGUCAUUUUGGUCUCUUCUUGAGAGUUGUCUCAUUGGCAAUCAUACCACAUCUUCUUUUUUUAUAUAAAAGAAUGAAAAUGCAGAACAAAGGUAAAUUAACAAACAUAACUACUAAAAGAAGUGUCGAUUCCAGAAAUUCUUCCUUGUAACUCGGUUGUAGCAUAGCAGUAUUUAUGUUAGGAACUUAUCACUACUAAUGACGUGAUCAUAUAUAUGUUCCAGACCAUACGAGUAUUUGGACCGUACGCGUACGGUCCGGACCGUAUACGUAUACUCGUACGGUCCGACCAUACGGUCAACGUCAGGACCGUAUGAGUAUACGCGUACGGUCCAGCUGAACAUACAUGUUUUGGGAUCAUAUAUAUGGGUUAAAUGUUAACGAACAUUUAUCAAAAUCUUUAUUUUUAGUUAUACAAAUUGUUAUUAUUACAAUAAGAUGGAUAAAGUGAAUAAGCGAACAAUUAAAAUCAAAUACUAAAUUUUGUUUAAUUUUAUAUCCGUGAAUCAUAUUUUGUUACUCUGGCCCAAGAUGACACUUGCUUCCACAAGGAACGUCAUAUAUUUUUAACAUUAACAUGUUUUGUUCAUGCAUGUUCCUUUGCAUAUGCAUUUUUUGUAAAGUUCCUAAAUAUUCUUAAACAAUUGUCCUCCCACAUUAUGUUUACUUCCGAUAACUUCAAUUUCAAUGAGCAUAAUGAAUUACUGACAUGCUAAGUACAGGAGAUUAACAGAUUAAAUAAGCCUGUUUUUUUACAAAUAGUUAAAAUACUAAGUUUUUAUUUCAAUAACUAUUCAACUUUUUAUGUUAAUUUGAGAUAUAAGUUAUGUUGAUCUGUUAUAUACAUUUGUAUCUAAUAAACUUGACCAAAUUCCUAAUAUUAGUCAGACCGUACGCGUACGGUCCAAAUACUCAUACGGUCUGGAACAUAUAUAUAGUGUGAAAAUACGAGCAUUAAGUGUUGAUAGAAAUAUUCACAACCCAAAUUAUGAGGCAAUGGUUAUUUAAUAGCUGAAAAUUGGAAAGUUGACAAUUGGAAAUUUUGAAUAAAAAAUUUUGAGUAACAUUCUUAUUGUCGUAGAUUUUAGUUUCUAGUCAUUUAUUUGUGUCAAUAUAUAAAAUAGAUAAAGAUAUAAAGGACACCUGCUUUUUUCGAUAAUAUCCUUUGUUUCAAAUUCAUUGGAUUAUGUGAGAUUCAUGCUUUCAUUGACAUGUGGUUUUUGAAAGACAGGACAUCAUUAUAUCUGUUAGUAAAGUUCAAGAACUUUGCAAGAUGCUAAUUUUUUGUUUUUAAGAAGGUUUUGCAUAUAUUGUGCUUUAUGAGUACCCAAGCGGGCCAGUAUAUGGGUAUACAAUAAAAUAUCAACCGUUUGCCUCCUGCACCAAUUCAGGAAUAUGGCAGUUGAUUUUAACUUGUUCCCUUGAGUGAUAGAAUUUGAUUUUGCCAAUUUUUAUGGAAAUACCAUGAAGUUUUGUAUUUUUGUUAUACAUUUUCAAAAUAUCAGUCCAUUGAAAACAACAUAUACUAGUAUGUUGUCGAUUUAGAAGUCUAGAUUUUUUAUGAUAACAUUCUCAUAGUUUAUUUGGAAUCAGUGCUGAUCACCGCAAAGUAACAUUUUUUUUCAUUAUCUGAAACAAUUGUAUUUACUGGUCCCUUUCGUUUACAUAAAAAAAAUCUUAAUGAGGAGAUUACAAUCGAUAUUUCAAUUGAUAGUUGGGAUGAAAUAUUAAUUGUAUAAAGCGAAGAAACAUUGAAAGUUUUAAAAUGACUGCGAAAUUGUAAAGAUUAUAUUUAAAGAUUUUGAAGUAGAUCUUCAUAAUCUAUAUGAAUCCAUCUGAAAGGCACCGCUAAAUGAAUGUAUCUCAUUGCAACAAUCUGAACUCCUAUUUUACUAUAGAAAAAAGUGAGUAAGAAUUUUGCAUAGAUUUUCAGUCGGACCUUUUACAUCUUCAAACAUCGUGAGUGCAGACUUCAAGAAUGAAAACCCACACCGUAAACUAAGCUGACUAUCAACCAGACCGAUAAAUCCGGAGAAGGCGAUAAAAUAUGCGUCAUUCACUUUUCCUAUCAUUUACAUAAAAAAUCUAUGACAAUAUGAACAAUUAAGUUAUAACAAUAUAUAAAAUUUCUUUUUGGUAUAUUUUCAGCUGAUGUAGAAGACAACUAGUUAAUAUAAUCAUCUAAGCAGUCAAAUGUUAGUCACUGUAACAAUAAAUCGUUUAUGAACA
This 3170-nucleotide long non-coding RNA is filed under the name Mytilus galloprovincialis (Mediterranean mussel). Lineage: Eukaryota; Metazoa; Mollusca; Bivalvia; Mytilida; Mytilidae. The record is from RNAcentral.